AUUACUUGUUUCUGAUGUUGGGGUUUUGCUUAUUUCAUCUAAGGUCUUACAUGUGGGGAUGAGGUUUAGGUUUUGCAGCCAAGGAUGACUUGCCGGCAAGCUUUAAACAUUUAUUAAGUUAAAUGGCUAUUAAAAUGUUUUUCUUCAAAGUGUAUAAAAGAAAAGGAAAUCGGCAAGUGGUCUUUGGCUACAUAUCUAUCUCAUCUUCUCAUGCUAGAUCUGUGAUGAAGAUGGUUGAAGGUUGAUGUAAAGAUGGACAGAUGGUUGAAGAAGGUGAUUUCCAACGUAUGGUGGUGGUUGUAUUAUGAUGGUUGGUUAUAUAUAAAGCUGUGUUUGUUGGAUGAGGAGGAG
RNAcentral lists this microRNA precursor (351 nucleotides) under Nigella damascena (love-in-a-mist). Lineage: Eukaryota; Viridiplantae; Streptophyta; Magnoliopsida; Ranunculales; Ranunculaceae. The record is from RNAcentral.